UACGUAGGGUGCGAGCGUUAAUCGGAAUUACUGGGCGUAAAGCGUGCGCAGGCGGUUUUGUAAGCCAGAUGUGAAAUCCCCGGGCUCAACCUGGGAAUGGCAUUUGGGACUGCAAGGCUUGAGUGCGGCAGAGGAGACUGGAAUUCCUGGUGUAGCAGUGAAAUGCGUAGAUAUCAGGAGGAACACCGAUGGCGAAGGCAGGUCACUGGGCCGCAACUGACGCUGAGGAGCGAAAGCAUGGGGAGCGAACAGG
This 253-nucleotide ribosomal RNA is filed under the name uncultured bacterium. RNAcentral describes it as "partial 16S ribosomal RNA". It matches the Rfam family "Bacterial small subunit ribosomal RNA", at positions 524 to 776 of the family's 1533-position model. The record is from RNAcentral.